Molecule: ribosomal RNA, 126 nt
Filed under: Turris spectabilis
Lineage: Eukaryota; Metazoa; Mollusca; Gastropoda; Neogastropoda; Turridae
Description: partial 28S ribosomal RNA
Rfam family: Eukaryotic large subunit ribosomal RNA (bases 61-126)
Source: RNAcentral
UCGAAGAAGAAGAUGGGAGGAGGAGGGGGGUCCGGUGGGUAUAAGACGCCUUUCCGUUUCCGACCUCAGAUCGGACGAGAUUACCCGCUGAAUUUAAGCAUAUCACUAAGCGGAGGAAAAGAAACU